GAUGAACGCUGGCGGCGUGCUUAACACAUGCAAGUCGAACGGAAAGGCCCAAGCUUGCUUGGGUACUCGAGUGGCGAACGGGUGAGUAACACGUGGGUGAUCUGCCCUGCACUUCGGGAUAAGCCUGGGAAACUGGGUCUAAUACCGGAUAGGACGAUGGUUUGGAUGCCAUUGUGGAAAGUUUUUUCGGUGUGGGAUGAGCUCGCGACCUAUCAGCUUGUUGGUGGGGUAAUGGCCUACCAAGGCGUCGACGGGUAGCCGGCCUGAGAGGGUGUACGGCCACAUUGGGACUGAGAUACGGCCCAGACUCCUACGGGAGGCAGCAGUGGGGAAUAUUGCACAAUGGGCGCAAGCCUGAUGCAGCGACGCCGCGUGGGGGUUGACGGCCUUCGGGUUGUAAACUCCUUUCGCUAGGGACGAAGCGUUUUUGUGACGGUACCUGGAGAAGAAGCACCGGCUAACUACGUG
Molecule: ribosomal RNA, 468 nt
Filed under: uncultured bacterium
Lineage: Bacteria
Description: partial 16S ribosomal RNA
Rfam family: Bacterial small subunit ribosomal RNA
Source: RNAcentral